RNAcentral lists this ribosomal RNA (469 nucleotides) under uncultured bacterium. RNAcentral's name for it is "partial 16S ribosomal RNA". It matches the Rfam family "Bacterial small subunit ribosomal RNA", at positions 28 to 507 of the family's 1533-position model. The record is from RNAcentral.
GAUGAACGCUGGCGGCGUGCUUAACACAUGCAAGUCGAACGGUGAACACGGAGCUUGCUCUGUGGGAUCAGUGGCGAACGGGUGAGUAACACGUGAGCAACCUGCCCCUGACUCUGGGAUAAGCGCUGGAAACGGCGUCUAAUACUGGAUAUGUGACGUGACCGCAUGGUCUGCGUUUGGAAAGAUUUUUCGGUUGGGGAUGGGCUCGCGGCCUAUCAGCUUGUUGGUGAGGUAAUGGCUCACCAAGGCGUCGACGGGUAGCCGGCCUGAGAGGGUGACCGGCCACACUGGGAUUGAGACACGGCCCAGACUCCUACGGGAGGCAGCAGUGGGGAAUAUUGCACAAUGGGCGCAAGCCUGAUGCAGCAACGCCGCGUGAGGGAUGACGGCCUUCGGGUUGUAAACCUUUUUUAGCAGGGAAGAAGCGAAAGUGACGGUACCUGCAGAAAAAGCGCCGGCUAACUACGUG